RNAcentral lists this small RNA (694 nucleotides) under Pan troglodytes (chimpanzee). RNAcentral describes it as "retained intron". Lineage: Eukaryota; Metazoa; Chordata; Mammalia; Primates; Hominidae. The record is from RNAcentral.
CAGCGACCAAGCCGCAGGUGGCGGCGAGCGCGGGGCUCGGCCCGAGCUCAGGAGAUGGGGAAACUGAGGCACGGAGCUGGACAGUGACUCAGACACCAGGAGCUGCCUGGAGUGGAGCUGAGAGCUCAGGUCUGGGCUCAGCCAGUCCAGAGUGCAAAUCUACUGUCCCUUCCUAGCUGUGUGAUCUUGGCAAGCACUGGACGGGGCCUGCAGGGGUCUCCACAGAGACCAUCAGGAUGUCGUAUUUUGGGGAGCAUUUUUGGGUAAGACCCACUCUUAUUUAGGCGGGGGAUGCUGGCAGGGCUGUGGGGACUUUUAUGGAGAUGGGGGGACUGGGUGAGUUGCGGUUACAGCCUUGGACAGGUAGAGGAUCUGCAAGGGAUGGAAGUUAAAGUGGGAAGAGUCAGGCUGGGUUUGAAUCCACACCCACCCCAGACCUCACAGGCCUUACAACCUUGGGCAAGUCAUAGCUUGUGUCAUAGGGAGACCAAGGCCCAGAGUGGGAACGUCUAGGCAACCUGAAGUUGCCCCAUGAAAAAGUGCAGAGUCAGUGCUCAAACCCAGGGCCAAACUGAACUUCCAGGACCCAGGGUCAUUCCAGCCAGGGAAUUUCCACCCCCUUCCCAUCCUGGAGAACUGGGGGGUUUUCCUGACCUGGCGUCUCAUGGCCUGUGCACCCCUCCACUGUCCAGGC